CAUUGUGAAAUGGAAUCUGAAGGAAGCCGGAUUCGGGGAACAUACUAACCCGAGGGCAAACCUCUGGCCUGACGAACAGGAAGCUCAUAUAAGGUUUCAGUUGAGGGUAAGACUGCUACUCAAGCCGAAGCCCGAUAACUACACGGAAUCAGCUGGAAUAAAUGAGACAGGUAGGUGGAGGGAAAGAAAC
Molecule: non-coding RNA, 190 nt
Filed under: bovine gut metagenome
Source: RNAcentral